This 414-nucleotide ribosomal RNA is filed under the name uncultured Galbibacter sp. RNAcentral describes it as "bacterial SSU rRNA". It matches the Rfam family "Bacterial small subunit ribosomal RNA", at positions 355 to 767 of the family's 1533-position model. The record is from RNAcentral. Lineage: Bacteria; Pseudomonadati; Bacteroidota; Flavobacteriia; Flavobacteriales; Flavobacteriaceae.
GGAGGAAUAUUGGACAAUGGAUGGAAAUCUGAUCCAGCCAUGCCGCGUGCAGGAAGACGGUCCUAUGGAUUGUAAACUGCUUUAGCAUGGGAGCAAUAAGGUGUACGCGUACACCGAUGAGAGUACCAUGAGAAUAAGCACCGGCUAACUCCGUGCCAGCAGCCGCGGUAAUACGGAGGGUGCAAGCGUUAUCCGGAUUUAUUGGGUUUAAAGGUGCGUAGGCUGUUUUGCAAGUCAGGGGUGAAAGCCCGGAGCUCAACUCCGGAACUGCCUUUGAUACUGCGAGGCUGGAAUACGGAUGCCGUGGGAGGAAUGAGUAGUGUAGCGGUGAAAUGCAUAGAUAUUACUCAGAACACCGAUUGCGAAGGCAUCUCACGAAUCCGUCAUUGACGCUGAGGCACGAAAGCGUGGGGA